CGCCAUUUGACGAAAACUCACAAUCUUCACAAGGAAGCAUCAUCCAGAGAGGAGGACAGAGGACAGUGGACACACAGCUUAACAUGAUGGACUAUAGGACAGGACUGCUGCUUUUAACCAUCUGCUGCUAGACAGGUGUUGAUGGUCAGACUCUGACAGAAUCUGAACCAGUGAUUAA
This is a long non-coding RNA of Sebastes umbrosus (honeycomb rockfish), 178 nucleotides long. RefSeq lists it as uncharacterized. Lineage: Eukaryota; Metazoa; Chordata; Actinopteri; Perciformes; Sebastidae. The transcript is spliced from 3 exons. The record is from RefSeq and is a predicted model, not a curated record.